GGGAAUGUGGCUUAGUGGUAGAGUACUUGCUUAGCAUGCAUGAAGCCCUGGGUUCGAUUCCUCAGUACCA
Molecule: transfer RNA, 70 nt
Filed under: Dipodomys ordii (Ord's kangaroo rat)
Lineage: Eukaryota; Metazoa; Chordata; Mammalia; Rodentia; Heteromyidae
Rfam family: tRNA
About the family: Transfer RNA (tRNA) molecules are approximately 80 nucleotides in length.
Source: Rfam by way of RNAcentral